This 6966-nucleotide long non-coding RNA is filed under the name Sus scrofa (pig). RNAcentral's name for it is "lncRNA (ENSSSCG00035041649.1)". The record is from RNAcentral. Lineage: Eukaryota; Metazoa; Chordata; Mammalia; Artiodactyla; Suidae.
UUUUUUCUUUUUACUGCCAUAACUAUGGCCUAUGAAAGAUCCCAGGCUAGGGGUUGAAUGGGAGUUACAGUUGCUGGCCACAGUGGAUCUGAGCUGCAUCUGUGACCUAGGCCACAGCUUGCGGCAGUGCCAGAUCCUUAACCCAGUGCGUGAGACCAGGGGUUGAACCCACAUCCUCAAAGGGUCAACAGUGGGUCCUUAACCCACUGAGUCACAGUGGAAACUCCAGCAGUUUUUACUUCUUAAUCCCAUACCUCUAUCUUGCCCCUUUCCUCUCUCCACUGGUACCCACUAAUUUGUUCUCUUUAUCUGUGACUCUAUUUCUUCAAACUAACUUUUAUCCUCUGAAAGCCAAUAAAGCCCCCAUGAUGUAGCUGUUACAUAUAGAUAUUCCAAUAGUAUCCAACCUNUCGAUUUAUUAUGUUUUUUUACUUCUGCACCUGUGGUAUGUGGAGGUUUCCAGGCUGGGAAGCCAACCCACACCACAACAGUGGCAGUGCCUGAUCCUUAACCUGCUGAGCCAUCAGGGAACUCUCAAAUUCAAUCUUGAUAGUUACUCAAUUUCUUAAAUUAACGGUGCAUUGCUAUGGUAAAUUAUUGAACACAAUGUUAUGAUGUUUUCAGUUAGUUCAUGAGUAUGUGGAUAUAAAGGGAGAACUGAGAAAAUAGGCUAUUGCAAAAAAUAAUCCUAGAAAAUUUCUUUUCCUUAUAUUUUGGAUGUAUACAACAUGACUAUAAAAGAACUAUAAAACCCAAACAAGAUCACUGGUUACCGCAUAUCCAAUUUCAAAAGGUUAUUUUGAGAAGUUAAAUUUCUAGGGUCAUAUACCUUGUAUCAGUUGCAGAGCUGGGAUAAAACCAUGAUAGCUAUUUGACAAUGGUGCGUAAAUAAAUUUCAAAUUUCAUUAACUUGCCAAUAAUCUCUGCUAAUUUAGAAACUGUAUAGCCUAAUGAAGAUAUGCUUCGUCCUCCAUAUUAGAUGAGAGUAAAAGUCCACCCUACCUAUGCAAAAACCAGAAACACUGGUGAACGCCAAGGUGUAGGGCAAACUCAUUUGCCAGUGUCAUCACAGAAUGCUUCUGUUCAGGACCAAGGCAAAAUUUUUAAAUCUCUUGUCCUUUAGCACAAUCCUUUGAGAUAAAUAAAUGCAUUUUUAAGGGAGGUGCUUAAAGCAUGGCUCUGCUUCAUUUAAAAAAGAUAAAUUCAUGACCCAUAUCUCCACCCAACAACACUCAAUGACUUGAUGUGCAUAGACCUCUCUCUUACCCGUUUACGUAAAGAAUCAUCCAAACAUUAAGGUAAACCUGUCACAGGCCCAUUAGUGAGUCAUCACUGCAUUAAGAAGCUUUCAGUACCCAAUCUUUCUAAUGUUGUUAGACAACCUUGACCUUCAGUUCUUUGCAAUGUGAAUAAUAUUGCAUCAUAUCUACCCAGAACAGUGUAAUCAUCUUUUCUAUUCGUGGCACUAAGACAGUCAACAGUAUUUGAUACAAUCAGCAUGUGUCUUGAUACGGAAGGCACAUGGUGACAAGCCUAACUGAAUGUAGUUAUUCGGCUGUCAUGAAAUGCACCUUAUGGUGAUAAACUUCCGCCAUAAAAUUGGAAGACUAUCACAUAAACAUGUUUCACGAAGAAAUACACUAGCAGAAUUCACUGCCGGGUUAUUGUUGGAAAACAGUGUUCUAUUUAUUGUGCUGUGGUUUUUACAGUAUGUGUCAGUGUUUGGAGGCACAUUACGUUUUACAAUGAAGUAAUUACUGGCUGGUGAUUUCUCUUUUCUGAAGAGCAAUUCUAUCUAAUUAGUGCACGAUAAAUUGAAGCGGUUAGAUUAGGGAAAUUUGAAUGGACAUAACAGGACCUGAUUUUCAGUGUGUGUGAGAGUCGUUUAAACUUAAGCUUUCAAACUAUAUGCGUGUUUUUCAACUUCGUGGUGAUUAUUUCUUCCAAUCCACCAGUUCUUUCUGUUUCACCUUAGUCUCUACUUUCUCUGUCUCUCUUUCUCUAAUGUUAUUGCAUUAUUAGUUAAUAGAAUAACUUAUUAAACGUGUCAAUGAACUAUCGGAGAUUUACUGUCGAGAUGAAGCGUAUAAUCAUCCUAUGUGCUUGUACAGCCCCUAAACUGAUAAUAUACAACGUAUAUGCAACAUAAUUCAAGACAUUUGUCCUUGAAUUUUAUUAUGACCCUGAGAUUGAGGCUUGCAUUUUAGUGCUUGCUCUCCAGGGGUGGAAGAUGGCAGAAGGGGCUGUUUGUGGAGUCUGCAUGCCAGGAACCCAGUCUCACUCGUUUUGCCCAAGAAGGGUCUUAGAUCUUGUUUUCCGCUCACAAAGCCAGGAACUGUCUGUAUUUAUUCGUCACAAUUUUUAUCACACAUUCUGGAAGUGCAGUCUAUGUUUGAUAGAUUCGUGCCUUGAAAUAUAACCACAGCCACCUUCAAAUUCCAUGCAUAAUAAUGAUAGAUAAAUAUUUUUUUAAGAGAAAAUUUAAAUACAGAGAAAAUAGCAGCCAGAUACAAAUCAAGACAUGUAACUAGAAAAGCUGGGACACUGACCCAGCCUUUCCCCUUGGGCCUGCUAACUUGCACCUGGGUCCUGAGAUCCCGAGAAUGCUCAAUAACCUCUGAGAUGGUAGUUCCCAGAUGCUGGAGUAAGAUCUGGUUCUUUGGGUCUGAGGGGGCCAGGUGAAGAGAUUUUCAAAACUGUUAGUCAAGGAGGAGCAAAGGCUGGAAUAGAGGGUAGGGAAAGGGAAAAUGAGAGAACAGAAAAAACCUAGCUGGCAAGUAAUAAUGGAAAGAACACCAGUGUAACAAUACUACCUCAGUCAAAAAAAAAAAAAUACGUUUUAAAGCAAAACAAUUUCUAAGAACAAAAAGGCACCCUAAAUCAUAAUAAAAAGAGCAAUUCACCAAGCAUGUAUUAGAGUCAGGUACAUGAGCCUAAAAAACAGAGCCUUAAAUAUAUAUAAAACAAACACUGACAUGGUUUUAUGGAGGAAAUAAAAAAAAUUACAAUCAUUGUAGGAGUUUUUUUUAACACUUGCCUACUGGAAAUUGGAUAGAAAAAAAUUGUAAGGAUACAGAAAAACUAGAGAAGUUUUUAACAGUUAAUUUAAAGGGGGCAACAACUACUCAGCUUUAGGGUUUGGAUAUCGGAAGAAAAUACAGGCCCGCUGCCGCUGGAACAAAAGAUCACCCAAGAGAAAUUUAGAAUCAAAAUUUUCAGGUAAGAUCUUCUUGCAAGUGUGAUAGUCCGACUCCAACAUCUUAAUGACACAAUCCCAGCAACACCAACCUGAUCCUCAGGCAGAGUCAGCAUCUAAGUGACCUAAAGUCUGCCCUCCCUUCAUGCUGUCCAUUUCUUGAAGUGAGAAUCUCUAUUUCUGCGUGGCUGUGUCUUCAAUGGGGUUUGAAGAUUAAAUGAGAGGAAAAAAUUGGAAGUAAUGGCGAGUACGUGCAGUAAUGAUUUAUUCUUGCAAUACCUCCCAUUGAUUGCUUUAUACAUAUGCACACAGCGGAAGUUUCUCAUGGUGCAAGGGAGGAAAAAGGGAUAAGGUACACACUUUCUAUUCCCCUACCAGCCUUCUUCUUCCUAAAACAUGGAGUGAACCACAUUCUUUUCCGUUUCUCCGGUGCCUAGCUCCUUAGUUACCUGGAAAACAAGUAAGAAAAUUAAUGGAAUAACUGUAUGUUUGUAAUUCUUCUUUACAAUUAUCAUAAUUCCACUGAAAAAUAUUCAUUCCACUCUUAUCAUAUAUCAUAUAUCAUAUAUCAUAUAUCACUGCUUGCUUUCUCAUGUAAUGUAUUAAUUCUCACAACAACUGCACUUGUGCCCACCUUACAGAUGAGGACAUCUGGUUUCAGGAUAAGAGAGAGAUUAAAAUAUCUCACUGAAAUGUCCACAACUUGUAAGUGAGGAAGCCAGGAUGGGACCAUUUCUUAUAAAAGCCUUAUAAGACAUAAUGUCUUUCAUGAAGCCUUUUCCACGUAAUGAGAAGGAAAAUGCGGACUACAGCAAAUGUAAAAAUUAUAAUCUCCACUGCCUAACUGACAUUUUCAGGAAGACUUGUUCACUCAGAAUUUAGCACAUAUUUUUGAGCAUAAGUCUGACUUUCUGUGAGACGCUGGGAAUAUGGCUGUGAACGAGACAGAGAAAGUUCCUGCCUUCGUGGAGUUCAUAUUCUGGGAGAGAAAGAAUAAAUCAACCAAUAUAAAUAGUGAAUAAGAAGUUCCCGUCAUGGCUCAGUGGUAAAUGAAUCCAACUAAGAACUAUGAGGUUGAGGGUUCGAUCCCUGGCCUUGCUCAGUGGGUUAAGGAUCCGGCAUUGCCAUGAGCUGUGAUGUAGGUCAAAGAUGCAGCUCCUAUCUUGUGUGGCUGUGGCUGUGGCUGUGGUGUAGGCCAGCAGCUACAGCUCCAAUUCGACCCCUAGCCUGGGAACCUCCAUACACCGCAGAAGCGGCCCUAGAAAUGGCAAAAAGACAAAAUAAAUAAAUAAAUAAAUGGUGAAUAAGAGGCAGAUAUUAAAAUAAACAAAUGCAUGUGUAAUAUAAUUUUAAGUACAUGUAAGAGCUAUGAAUAAUAUAGAGCAAGCUCAAGGGCUAGAGAAGUGAUGGGGUACUUUUUCAGCUAGGAUGGAAAGGAAAGUCUCUCCCGUGAGUAGCAGGGCUAAGAGAGUUCCAGAGAAAGAGGGGAACAGAUACAAAAGAUUAAGAAGGAGGAAGGAGCACUGUGUUGGUCCAAGAACCAGGAAGCUGGAGGCAGGUGAGAAAUGAGGCAGGGAUGGGGGUGAGCGGAGGAGAGGAAGUCAGGGAAAGGGGUUGGGCCUGAGAGCUCCAUGGUCCAGGAAAGAUUUAGGACUUUCAAUGUCAAGUUGAGCCACGGGCAGUGGGGGGUAGGGGUGGCUGUGAUGGGAUUGAUCACCUAUAAAUGUUUGGGCAAUGCAUUCUUUUUUAUUUGCUUGUUUCUUUUUAUUGCUAUACCUAUGGUAUAUGGAAGUUCCUGGGCCAGGGGUUGAAUCAGAGCUGCAGCUGCAACCUAGGCCACAGUCACGGCGACACUGGAUCUGAGGUGCACUGGCAACCUAUACUACAGUUUGUGGCAAUGCCAGAUCCUUAACCCAAUGAGUGAGGCCAGGGAUUAGGCCCGCAUCCUGACAGAGACAACAUAAGAUCCUUAACCUGCUGAGCCACAGUAGGAACUUCUGGGCAAUACAUUCUUAACAAAGGCCUCAGCAGAUGUCCUGGGACCCUGGGGAGUUAAAGUGGUCUUUCUUCUUCCUCCCAAGUGGGGGCAGGAGGGUCAGCCAGUCUUCCUCAUUGGCCAGUCACUGAUUGUGGACUUCCCUGGAUGAGAUGUGUUCUUCAACUGAGGCAAUUCUUCCUUCAGGAUGGACACAGAGGCUCUGCCAGGACCAGCAGGGAAAUGAGUCCUUCUGCCCUGAAGGCAGAACCUGGAGACCACAUCACAGAAUCUGCCACACGAAGCCCCCUAGGACUUGGCCAGUCUGCAGCACCCCUAGGUCACUGCUCUUUCCCUUCCCACUUUGCCCUUUGUCCAUCGUUUCUGGUCCAUUUCAUCCCACUGCCAACAUUUCAAAGCUCUUUACUAUUCUUCUUUGGAACAACCCCACCUCAGCCUGCUAGGAAGAAACAUUUCCUUGAAUAUUAUCUACACCUCUUUCUGGAGAUUGUUAAAUGUCCUGCUGCUCUUGGGCAAGGCCAAAUAACACCUGCAGCUGGAAAAAAAGAACCUCAAAUUAAAUUCCAUUACUCAUCUCAGGAGCACAACAGACACCGAAAAGGUUCAAAAAGGGGCAAUGAAAAAGAAUUGAGUCAUAACAGAAGUAUAUGGAGUAAUGAGUUUAAUUUCCCAAAUUCUCAAUUUCCACCCUUUGUUCCAAGCAUGUUUCUUUUCAUGCAAUUUGGCCAUAAUUUCAGGGUAGCUUUACAGUGUAUUGAUUAAGAACUAAUUAGUGUGCUUUAGCCUUUAACUUGUCUGAUUUGUGAAUUGCAACUUUUGGAGUUUUUCUUUUUCUCUGCAAUUUGACCAAAGCUAAAGCAUCUUUCAAAAUGCUAUCCUUGGGGAUAAAGGGCUUUGCUUGUCAAGGGAAGUCCUGCAGAUUUCUGAUGGCAGCCAGGAAGCAAACAAUUGUCUCUGCACUACAGAAGGCUGUGUUAUCACAGGCAGUGAGUAUGUGUUUGCCAUUGAGCACUGCAGUAGACAUUGCUAGGGCUCCCCAACACAUGGCUCUUUUCUUCUCAUCACCCUUGGAGGUGGAUGGGACUAUGUCAAUGUUUCCAGUCCAUAAAAUAGUAGCAAAACUCAUGCAUCUCAUUUCCAGGCCAGGCGAGUAAAACUCCCCUGCACUGUCCUCGUCUCACUUGUUCUUUGCUCUGGCGAUGGCAAAGGAGGCUUUGUGUUGGGAUAAUGGACCCCCUCCCUCUCCCCUCAAACAGGAAGCUGCUCUAAUCUUUGAGUCAUCAUUUGGAGAAUGGCUUUCCUAGAGAGUCAUCCAGACCCACUGUGGACUUAGUGAAAAACAAAAAUCUUCGUCUUGUAAAGCUCCUGAAAAUUGUUGUUAUUGCAGCAAAGCCUAGUUUAUGCUAACUAACCUAAAUGGUUCCUUAUCUGCCUCAUCUUUCCCUUGCACCAAAUGCUUAUGGAAGGGGUCCUGCAUAUACCUAAACUCUUUCUCUCUGCUCCAUAACAGUCCAACAAACCUUGGGCUGUGGUCUCAGUACAUACUUGGAUUAAAGUCUUUAACACAUUGCUAGUUUAUAAAGUAGGGGAUUAUUUCUUCACCUUUGAAACCCCUAAACUUAGUAUAAGGCCAGGCUAUGUAAAUAUUGAAUAAAUAUUCAUGCCAGACUGCAGAGGGAGUUCCUGUUGUUGUGCAGUGGAAACAAAUCCGACUAGUAUCCAUGAGGAUGCAGAUUCAAUCCCUGGCCUUGCACAGUGGGUUAAGGAUCCAGGG